CCUACGGGAGACAGCAGUGAGGAAUAUUGGUCAAUGGGCGCGAGCCUGAACCAGCCAAGUAGCGUGAAGGAAGACUGUCCUAUGGGUUGUAAACCUCUUUUAUCAAGGAAUAAAGUGAGCCACGUGUGCCUUUCUGUAUGUACUUUAUGAAUAAGCAUCGGCUAACUCCGUGCCAGCAGCCGCGGUAAUACGGAGGAUCCGAGCGUUAUCCGGAUUUAUUGGGUUUAAAGGGAGCGUAGAUGGGAUGUUAAGUCAGUUGUGAAAAUUUGCGGCUCAACCGUAAAAUUGCCAUUGAAACUGGCAGCCUUGAGUGCAGGUGAGGUAUGCGGAAUGCGUGGUGUAGCGGUGAAAUGCUUAGAUAUCACGAAGAACUCCGAUUGCGAAGGCAGCAUAC
Molecule: ribosomal RNA, 394 nt
Filed under: uncultured bacterium
Lineage: Bacteria
Description: partial 16S ribosomal RNA
Rfam family: Bacterial small subunit ribosomal RNA
Source: RNAcentral